CGGACCAGACUCCUACGUGAGGCAGCAGUGGGGAAUCUUGCACAAUGGAGGCAACUCUGAUGCAGCGACGCCGCGUGAGCGAUGAAGCCCUUCGGGGUGUAAAGCUCUUUCGGCAGGAACGAUAAUGACGGUACCUGAAGAAGAAGCUGCGGCUAACUACGUGCCAGCAGCCGCGGUAAUACGUAGGCAGCGAGCGUUGUUCGGAAUUACUGGGCGUAAAGAGUGUGUAGGCGGUGCUCUAAGUUCGGUGUGAAAUCUCCCGGCUUAACUGGGAGGGUGCGCCGGAAACUGGAGUGCUCGAGCGUGGGAGAGGAAAGCGGAAUUCCUGGUGUAGCGGUGAAAUGCGUAGAUAUCAGGAGGAACACCUGCGGUGUAGACGGCUUUCUGGACCAUUGCUGACGCUGAGACACGAAAGCGUGGGUAGCAAACAGGAUUAGAUACCCUGGUAGUCCACGCCCUAAACGAUGGAUACUAGGCGUAAGAGGUAUCGACCCCUCUUGUGCCGCAGCUAACGCAUUAAGUAUCCCGCCUGGGGAGUACGGCCGCAAGGUUGAAACUCAAAGGAAUUGACG
This 572-nucleotide ribosomal RNA is filed under the name uncultured bacterium. RNAcentral describes it as "SSU rRNA". It matches the Rfam family "Bacterial small subunit ribosomal RNA", at positions 327 to 915 of the family's 1533-position model. The record is from RNAcentral.